This 507-nucleotide unclassified non-coding RNA is filed under the name uncultured Entrophospora. Its description in RNAcentral is "SSU rRNA". It matches the Rfam family "Eukaryotic small subunit ribosomal RNA", at positions 591 to 1092 of the family's 1831-position model. Lineage: Eukaryota; Fungi; Glomeromycota; Glomeromycetes; Entrophosporales; Entrophosporaceae. The record is from RNAcentral.
CCAAUAGCGUAUAUUAAAGUUGUUGCAGUUAAAAAGCUCGUAGUUGAAUUUCGGGAUUGACGUGACGGUCAUGCCUUAAGGGGUAUGAACUGUUGCUGGUGAUUUCUCACCUUCUGGAGAAACUUGAUGUCCUUUAUUGGGUGUCUUGCGGAUCCAGGACCUUUACCUUGAAAAAAUUAGAGUGUUUAAAGCAGGCAUUUUUGCUCGAAUACAUUAGCAUGGAAUAAUAGAAUAGGACGGCAUGGUUCUAUUUUGUUGGUUUCUAGGAUCACCGUAAUGAUUAAUAGGGAUAGUUGGGGGCAUUAGUAUUCAAUUGUCAGAGGUGAAAUUCUUGGAUUUAUUGAAGACUAACUACUGCGAAAGCAUUUGCCAAGGAUGUUUUCAUUAAUCAAGAACGAAAGUUAGGGGAUCGAAGACGAUCAGAUACCGUCGUAGUCUUAACCAUAAACUAUGCCGACUAGGAAUCAGACGAUGUUAAUUUUUUAAUGACUCGUUUGGCACCUUACG